RNAcentral lists this transfer RNA (75 nucleotides) under Chloroflexota bacterium. RNAcentral's name for it is "Chloroflexi bacterium (marine sediment metagenome) tRNA-Pro". It matches the Rfam family "tRNA". Rfam says of the family: Transfer RNA (tRNA) molecules are approximately 80 nucleotides in length. Lineage: Bacteria; Bacillati; Chloroflexota. RNAcentral also lists the same sequence under 1 other name. The record is from RNAcentral.
CGGGGCGUGGCGCAGUGGUAGUGCGCCCGCUUUGGGAGCGGGGGGUCGUGAGUUCGAAUCUCGCCUCCCCGACCA